Molecule: long non-coding RNA, 378 nt
Organism: Helicoverpa armigera (cotton bollworm)
Lineage: Eukaryota; Metazoa; Arthropoda; Insecta; Lepidoptera; Noctuidae
Exons: 3
Source: RefSeq, a predicted model, not a curated record
GUCAAAGUUAUAAAUGAAGAGCAGAUAUUUUAGCGUCAGUAUUGUGAGAGCAGUCGAACAAGAUGAAAGGUUUUGUGCUAUUCCUGGUUGUCGUGCUUCUUGCGUACACGUACGCUGCCCCACAAGGAGCGACCAACUAUCCUCUCAUAACAGCUCCGGGAGGCUCGGCAGCUUCUGGAGUAUUUUCGGUCCACGGAGGAGUCAGUGUAGGCGUUGAUAAAAACAGUUGCACUUUAUUACAAAAGGUUCUUUCAGUGAUGUGGAAUGUUUGCUGAAGAAACACCAAAAAUAAUUGUGAUGAUGUCCAAUACAACAUGUUAAAUAAGUCCUAUCAUAAUACUGAAUAUUGAAUGGAAUAAAUAAGCAUGCUUCAUAUAA